Molecule: small RNA, 164 nt
Filed under: Arabidopsis thaliana (thale cress)
Lineage: Eukaryota; Viridiplantae; Streptophyta; Magnoliopsida; Brassicales; Brassicaceae
Description: ATSL059270
Source: RNAcentral
AAAGAAAAAAGCAACGCAAAUAUCCUAUUUCCAGUAAUUCUUAGUGUUCGUCUCCUCGCUAAAAUCAUCCCUCUAUAGUUACUUGUAAGAUUAGUCAUGAUUCUACUAUUAUGUGCCACAUGUAUAAGAAUUUAUUAAGACCACAUGUUUUUGUUUUUAUUUAU